GACGAACGCUGGCGGCGUGCUUAACACAUGCAAGUCGAACGGAAAGGCCCUGCUUUUGUGGGGUGCUCGAGUGGCGAACGGGUGAGUAACACGUGAGUAACCUGCCCUUGACUUUGGGAUAACUUCAGGAAACUGGGGCUAAUACCGGAUAGGAGCUCCUGCUGCAUGGUGGGGGUUGGAAAGUUUCGGCGGUUGGGGAUGGACUCGCGGCUUAUCAGCUUGUUGGUGGGGUAGUGGCUUACCAAGGCUUUGACGGGUAGCCGGCCUGAGAGGGUGACCGGCCACAUUGGGACUGGGAUACGGCCCAGACUCCUACGGGAGGCAGCAGUGGGGAAUAUUGCACAAUGGGCGGAAGCCUGAUGCAGCAACGCCGCGUGCGGGAUGACGGCCUUCGGGUUGUAAACCGCUUUCGCCUGUGACGAAGCGUGAGUGACGGUAAUGGGUAAAGAAGCACCGGCUACUACGUG
RNAcentral lists this ribosomal RNA (467 nucleotides) under uncultured bacterium. RNAcentral describes it as "partial 16S ribosomal RNA". It matches the Rfam family "Bacterial small subunit ribosomal RNA", at positions 28 to 507 of the family's 1533-position model. The record is from RNAcentral.